UUUUAUGACUAUAUUGGAAUUUCUGAAUGAUAGUGGACAGCAGGACAAUUCCACCGUAAAUAGAGGAGAAAAGGAAAAAAAUGAUUGAUGUGUUAAACAUCAUAUUAUUGCAAAACUAAUAAGAAGUAACCUGAUCAGAACAUUACACCUGAUAUAACUAACAAUCCAAUCUGCAGUGGCAAACGGAAAAGGGCGCGCGUACAUGCAUCUGCAGAAAGUGCUAAGGUAGUGUUUGGUUGGCUCAAAUGUAACGUAAUCUGAUUACUGAAGGUAACAAAUCCCAUUACAUAUGUUUGGUUGCGGUGGUUUGUAAUCAAUUGACACUGUAAUCGAAUCCCUUACCUAAAUAAUAUCUAUACAAGCUUGUUACCCCUCCUCCCCCACCGUAAUCAGAUAUAGCACCCACACAGUAAUCUGAUUACGUUACCAGAGUGCAACCAAACAAAGAGGGCAAUCACCCAUUCCACCUCCAAAUACACUGUAAUCUGAUUCCCUUUGCGUUUACAUUACCUUAGCACGAACCAAACACUAUCUAAGUAUAUAUCAAUAGCAGAGAACAUCUGCUGGAUCAUCAGUUUCUCAGAGUUCAUCGUGACACAGGCAUGAACACAAUGAACACGUAAGAACACAGAACAGGCGUUGUAUGGCAAUCGAUCAAAUCGCGAGUCCAACACAACUGAGAGGCCUCUUCUCGUUGACACCGCCUAACGCACCGACCAGUGGGCGGUGAUGGCAAGCGCGGCGCUGACCCCCGCGAGAUCAGCCGCGGCCUUGAGGCCUGCGUGGAGGGCGAUGAAGCGCUCAACGUCGAGUAAGCCGUCCAUGCCCGGAAUAAUCGGGCCGUCGUGCACGUCGCCGGGCGUCCGCAGGUGGACGCGGCACGUCUCCACACAGCCGCACGCCUCCUCAGCGCAAGCCCUGGCGCUGUGGAACAGGCUCAGAGCAAGCUGAACGUGCUGGACGCGGGUUGGCCGAGGUGCCGUAGAGCACCAAGAGCUCGGCCGCACCUCGAUGGAGGACGGGACCGUCCGUAGGGUGGGGUGCCGCGGGCAGCUGGGGGCGGCGGGCGGUGAGCAGCGGGUGUUCGGGGGCGGCGGACCGACGACCGGGGGGUGGCGGAUGGCGGGCCGGCGGUCGGCAAUCGGGGGCGGCGGGUGACUGGCCGCCGAGGACGGCGCGCGAAGGAGGCCACGGUUGUGCGGGGGAGGAGCGGAUGGUGUCGGAAGAAAUAGAUUGGGAGAAAAAUGAACUGUUUCCUUCAUAAGCAGGUGGGUAAUUUUUUACAAAACACUUGAAAGCAGGAGAAAUGUGCUUUUAGUUUUGUACUAGAGCAAAAGCACAUUUUGAAUAAAAGCACAUAGGACUUUUAAGCUAUUUGGUUGACUUUUAGCUUUUGCAAGAGUAAAAGCAGGGUGAAAAGCCUAACCAGUGGCCGGUGGGCUGCAAAACUCCACGCCUGCUCGUCCAUCACCACAACCUCUUCGCUAAUCCGGCCGGCCGCUGUCAGGCUACGCCAGGACGCCGGC
RNAcentral lists this long non-coding RNA (1526 nucleotides) under Setaria italica (foxtail millet). Its description in RNAcentral is "long non-coding RNA (SITA_LNC002135)". Lineage: Eukaryota; Viridiplantae; Streptophyta; Magnoliopsida; Poales; Poaceae. The record is from RNAcentral.